This 61-nucleotide transfer RNA is filed under the name Eophreatoicus karrkkanj. RNAcentral describes it as "tRNA-Phe". Lineage: Eukaryota; Metazoa; Arthropoda; Malacostraca; Isopoda; Amphisopidae. The record is from RNAcentral.
GUCUAGAGAAGUUUUAAGAAUGUAAUAGUGAAGAUAUUGAGGUGACUUUUGUUCCUAGACA